RNAcentral lists this transfer RNA (69 nucleotides) under Ictidomys tridecemlineatus (thirteen-lined ground squirrel). Its description in RNAcentral is "Spermophilus tridecemlineatus (thirteen-lined ground squirrel) tRNA". It matches the Rfam family "tRNA". From Rfam's summary of the family: Transfer RNA (tRNA) molecules are approximately 80 nucleotides in length. Their secondary structure includes four short double-helical elements and three loops (D, anti-codon, and T loops). Further hydrogen bonds mediate the characteristic L-shaped molecular structure. tRNAs have two regions of fundamental functional importance: the anti-codon, which is responsible for specific mRNA codon recognition, and the 3' end, to which the tRNAs corresponding amino acid is attached (by aminoacyl-tRNA synthetases). tRNAs cope with the degeneracy of the genetic code in two manners: having more than one tRNA (with a specific anti-codon) for a particular amino acid; and 'wobble' base-pairing, i.e. permitting non-standard base-pairing at the 3rd anti-codon position. The record is from Rfam by way of RNAcentral. Lineage: Eukaryota; Metazoa; Chordata; Mammalia; Rodentia; Sciuridae.
GGGCUUGUGGCUCAGUGGCAGAGCGCUCACCUAGCAUGUGUGAGGCUCUGGGUUCGAUCCUUAGCACCG